This 963-nucleotide ribosomal RNA is filed under the name uncultured Verrucomicrobiota bacterium. RNAcentral describes it as "bacterial SSU rRNA". It matches the Rfam family "Bacterial small subunit ribosomal RNA", at positions 8 to 964 of the family's 1533-position model. Lineage: Bacteria; Pseudomonadati; Verrucomicrobiota. The record is from RNAcentral.
AGAGUUUGAUCCUGGCUCAGAAUGAACGCUGGCGGCGUGUUUAAGACAUGCAAGUCGCACGGGGGAAUGUGAGUAGCAAUACGAAUGUUCUUCAGUGGCGCACGGGUGCGUAACACGUGAGUUACAUGCCCUGCAGAGGGGGAUAGCCCAGGGAAACUUGGAUUAAUACCCCAUGGUCUCGCAAGAGUAAAGGUGGCGAAAGCUGCCGCUGCAGGAUUGGCUCGCGGCCUAUCAGCUAGUUGGUGAGGUAACGGCUCACCAAGGCUACGACGGGUACCUGGUCUGAGAGGACGAUCAGGCACACUGGAACUGAGACACGGUCCAGACACCUACGGGUGGCAGCAGUCGAGAAUCAUUCACAAUGGGGGCAACCCUGAUGGUGCAACGCCGCGUGGAGGAUGAAGGUCUUCGGAUUGUAAACUCCUGUCAUCUAGGAGCAAGGCAUGGUGGUGAAUAGCCAACAUGAUUGAUAGUACUAGAAGAGGAAGGGACGGCUAACUUCGUGCCAGCAGCCGCGGUAAUACGAAGGUCCCGAGCGUUAUUCGGAAUCACUGGGCGUAAAGGGAGCGUAGGCGGCGUGGAAAGUCAGAUGUGAAAUCCCGGGGCUCAACCCCGGAACUGCAUCCGAUACUACCAUGCUAGAGUAUUGGAGGGGUAACUGGAAUUCUCGGUGUAGCAGUGAGAUGCGUGGAUAUCGAGAGGAACACCUGUGGCGAAAGCGAGUUACUGGACAAUUACUGACGCUGAGGCUCGAAGGCUAGGGGAGCAAAAGGGAUUAGAUACCCCUGUAGUCCUAGCAGUAAACGGUGCACGCUUGGUUUGAGGGGAAUCGACCCCCUUCGAGCCGGAGCAAACGCGUUAAGCGUGCCGCCUGGGAAGUACGGUCGCAAGACUAAAACUCAAAGGAAUUGACGGGGACCCGCACAAGCGGUGGAGUAUGUGGCUUAAUUCGAUGCAACGCGA